RNAcentral lists this ribosomal RNA (253 nucleotides) under uncultured bacterium. RNAcentral's name for it is "partial 16S ribosomal RNA". It matches the Rfam family "Bacterial small subunit ribosomal RNA", at positions 524 to 776 of the family's 1533-position model. The record is from RNAcentral.
UACGGAGGAUCCGAGCGUUAUCCGGAUUUAUUGGGUUUAAAGGGUGCGUAGGCGGCUUAUUAAGUCAGUGGUGAAAGCCUGGAGCUUAACUCAGAACGGCCAAGUGAUACUGCAGUGCUAGAGUGUGGAAGGGGCAAUCGGAAUUCUUGGUGUAGCGGUGAAAUGCGUAGAUAUCAAGAGGAACACCUGAGGUGAAGACGGGUUGCUGGGCCAACACUGACGCUGAGGCGCGAAAGCCAGGGGAGCAAACGGG